RNAcentral lists this ribosomal RNA (447 nucleotides) under uncultured bacterium. RNAcentral's name for it is "bacterial SSU rRNA". It matches the Rfam family "Bacterial small subunit ribosomal RNA", at positions 355 to 825 of the family's 1533-position model. The record is from RNAcentral.
UCGGGAAUUUUGGGCAAUGGGCGAAAGCCUGACCCAGCAACGCCGCGUGAAGGAUGAAGUAUUUCGGUAUGUAAACUUCGAAAGAAUAGGAAGAAUAAAUGACGGUACUAUUUAUAAGGUCCGGCUAACUACGUGCCAGCAGCCGCGGUAAUACGUAGGGACCAAGCGUUGUUCGGAUUUACCGGGCGUAAAGGGCGCGUAGGCGGCAUGACAAGUCACUUGUGAAAUCUCUGGGCUUAACCCAGAACGGCCAAGUGAUACUGUCGCGCUAGAGUGCAGAAGGGGCAAUCGGAAUUCUUGGUGUAGCGGUGAAAUGCGUAGAUAUCAAGAGGAACACCUGAGGUGAAGACGGGUUGCUGGGCUGACACUGACGCUGAGGCGCGAAAGCCAGGGGAGCAAACGGGAUUAGAUACCCCAGUAGUCCCUGAGCGGGCUGGCAAGGCGCAU